ACUUAGAUAGCUUAAGUUUGAAAGUUUAACUCUGAAGAAGUUAUUAUAGGGAAAUCCCUUCUAAGUA
This 67-nucleotide transfer RNA is filed under the name Dolycoris baccarum (sloe bug). RNAcentral describes it as "tRNA-Phe". Lineage: Eukaryota; Metazoa; Arthropoda; Insecta; Hemiptera; Pentatomidae. The record is from RNAcentral. RNAcentral also lists the same sequence under 1 other name.